GGGUGCAGCAUCUGUGGUCAUAUGUCGGAGAGAGGCAGAAGGGGAAGGAAUUAUGGGAGAAGGAAACAGUUGUAAAGUUUGGUUUAGUGGGUGCAACAUCUGUGGUCAUAUGUCGGAGAGAGGCAGAAGGGGAAGGAAUUAUAGGUGAAGGGAACAGUUGGAAAGUUUGGUUUAGUGGGUGCAACAUCUGUGGUCAUAUGCCGGAGAGAGGCAGAAGGGGAAGGAAUUAUAGGUGAAGGGAACAGUUGGAAAGUUUGGUUUAGUGGGUGCAACAUCUGUGGUCAUAUGCCGGAGAGAGGCAGAAGGGGAAGGAAUUAUGAGUGAAGGGAACAGUUGGAAAGUUUGGUUUAGUGGGUGCAACAUCUGUGGUCAUAUGCCAGAGAGAGGCAGAAGGGGAAGGAAUUAUAGGAGAAGGGAACAGACCCCAGGAGACGGGACACAACCCCCGAUUAAUACCUGCUACACUACUGGGUGGACAGGGGCUAUGUUGGGUAUCGGAAAAGCUGCCCAAAUUUUUCAACUCCACCAUGGAAUCGAACCCGGGCUCUCUCGGUUGUGUGCCGAGUGUGCUAACCACUGCACCACGAAGCCCCCUAGCACAAAUGGAUGCCCAGCCUUAAUGAUUUUCAGGUUGAGCCGAGGCAUGUUGAGGCUCUGCUUGAAGACCAACAGCCUGAGAGUCUUCACCAACACGCUGGCUGGUCACUGUCAUCCAAAGAGUCCUCGGCAGCACAGGCCAGCCAGCAC
Molecule: long non-coding RNA, 747 nt
Organism: Eriocheir sinensis (Chinese mitten crab)
Lineage: Eukaryota; Metazoa; Arthropoda; Malacostraca; Decapoda; Varunidae
Exons: 3
Source: RefSeq, a predicted model, not a curated record